This 498-nucleotide ribosomal RNA is filed under the name uncultured bacterium. RNAcentral describes it as "partial 16S ribosomal RNA". It matches the Rfam family "Bacterial small subunit ribosomal RNA", at positions 30 to 523 of the family's 1533-position model. The record is from RNAcentral.
AUUGAACGCUGGCGGCAUGCUUUACACAUGCAAGUCGAACGGUAACAGGUCUUCGGAUGCUGACGAGUGGCGAACGGGUGAGUAAUACAUCGGAACGUGCCUAGUAGUGGGGGAUAACUACUCGAAAGAGUAGCUAAUACCGCAUGAGAUCUACGGAUGAAAGCAGGGGACCUUCGGGCCUUGUGCUACUAGAGCGGCGGAUGGCAGAUUAGGUAGUUGGUGGGGUAAAGGCUUACCAAGCCUGCGAUCUGUAGCUGGUCUGAGAGGACGACCAGCCACACUGGGACUGAGACACGGCCCAGACUCCUACGGGAGGCAGCAGUGGGGAAUUUUGGACAAUGGGCGAAAGCCUGGUCCAGCAAUGCCGCGUGCAGGAUGAAGGCCCUCGGGUUGUAAACUGCUUUUGUACGGAACGAAAAGCCUGGGGCUAAUAUCCCCGGGUCAUGACGGUACCGUAAGAAUAAGCACCGGCUAACUACGUGCCAGCAGCCGCCGUAA